RNAcentral lists this ribosomal RNA (120 nucleotides) under uncultured bacterium. RNAcentral describes it as "partial 16S ribosomal RNA". It matches the Rfam family "Bacterial small subunit ribosomal RNA", at positions 28 to 130 of the family's 1533-position model. The record is from RNAcentral.
GAUGAACGCUGGCGGCGUGCCUAACACAUGCAAGUCGAACGGAGUUUAUAUUAUGAAGUCUUCGGAUGAAUUGAUAUAAACUUAGUGGCGGACGGGUGAGUAACGCGUGGGUAACCUGCC